UACGGGGGGGGCAAGCGUUGUUCGGAAUUACUGGGCGUAAAGGGCUCGUAGGCGGCCAACUAAGUCGGACGUGAAAUCCCCAGGCUCAACCUGGGAACUGCGUCCGAUACUGGAUGGCUUGAAUCCGGGAGAGGGAUGCAGAAUUCCAGGUGUAGCGGUGAAAUGCGUAGAUAUCUGGAGGAAUACCGGUGGCGAAGGCGGGUCUCUGGGCCGAUACUGACGCUGAGGAGCGAAAGCGAGGGGAGCAAACGGG
This 253-nucleotide ribosomal RNA is filed under the name uncultured bacterium. Its description in RNAcentral is "partial 16S ribosomal RNA". It matches the Rfam family "Bacterial small subunit ribosomal RNA", at positions 524 to 776 of the family's 1533-position model. The record is from RNAcentral.